This 252-nucleotide ribosomal RNA is filed under the name uncultured bacterium. RNAcentral's name for it is "partial 16S ribosomal RNA". It matches the Rfam family "Bacterial small subunit ribosomal RNA", at positions 1234 to 1500 of the family's 1533-position model. The record is from RNAcentral.
CCGGUACAAUGCGAAGCGAAGCAGUGAUGUGAAGCAAAUCGCACCAAAGCCGGUCCCAGUUCGGAUAAGAGGCUGAAACUCGCCUCUUUGAAGUCGGAAUCGCUAGUAAUCGCAGAUCAGCAUGUUGCGGUGAAUACGUUCCCGGGUCUUGUACACACCGCCCGUCAAACCAUGAGAGCCACCAACACCCGAAGUCCGCUUUGGCGGCCUAAGGUGGGGGAGAUGAUUGGGGUUAAGUCGUAACAAGGUAUC